GGGCAAGAGGCCCGCGGCUGAGGGUGCGAGCCAGGCGCACUCUGGGAGGCCGCCGAGACACCCAAGGAGCCGGAGCCAGUCGCGAGGACGUGGCUCAUCUACCCAGCAUGGAUGAUCGGAUCGUCGACAGGCUCCGAGCUGCGUGAUCUGCAGUGGUCCUCAUCAACCACGGCAGUGCCCACGCAGUCGGGCUAGGUGUUACUUGUGUGGCCAGGAGGGCCACUUCCAGUCGGACUGCCUGAGGGGUCCAGCGUCAGCGCAAUCAUCGGCAUCAGCACUAGCUUCACCGGGUCCCAGCCAGGGGACGCCUUCUGCUCACUACUAGGCCGGGAGGCCAUCUGUCCAGAGACAGAUGGAGGGGCCACGACAGGCCCCGAGCGGGCGCAUGUACGCGGCCCAGACCGCGGAGGCGGCAGCGGCCGAGUUUGAGGCUACAGGUAUCAGUUUGUUUUGUGGCAUUCGAGUUGUACAUUGUUUGUUAUCGGUGCAUUGCAUCUGUUCUUUGAUCGGCUAUUUGCCGAGUUGCAUGGCAUUCCGUUAGCUUGCUGUUUGCG
RNAcentral lists this long non-coding RNA (554 nucleotides) under Ananas comosus (pineapple). Its description in RNAcentral is "long non-coding RNA (ACOM_LNC035840)". Lineage: Eukaryota; Viridiplantae; Streptophyta; Magnoliopsida; Poales; Bromeliaceae. The record is from RNAcentral.